RNAcentral lists this ribosomal RNA (1391 nucleotides) under metagenome. RNAcentral describes it as "bacterial SSU rRNA". It matches the Rfam family "Bacterial small subunit ribosomal RNA". The record is from RNAcentral.
GUGGCGAACGGGUGAGUAAUGCAUCGGAACGUGCCACUGAGUGGGGGAUAACGUAGCGAAAGUUGCGCUAAUACCGCAUAUUCUGUGAGCAGGAAAGCAGGGGACCGCAAGGCCUUGCGCUCUUUGAGCGGCCGAUGUCAGAUUAGCUAGUUGGUGAGGUAAAGGCUUACCAAGGCGACGAUCUGUAGCGGGUCUGAGAGGAUGAUCCGCCACACUGGAACUGAGACACGGUCCAGACUCCUACGGGAGGCAGCAGUGGGGAAUUUUGGACAAUGGGGGCAACCCUGAUCCAGCCAUGCCGCGUGAGUGAAGAAGGCCUUCGGGUUGUAAAGCUCUUUCGGCCGGGAAGAAAUCGCAUGGGCCAAUACCCUGUGUGGAUGACGGUACCGGAAUAAGAAGCACCGGCUAACUACGUGCCCGCAGCCGCGGUAAUACGUAGGGUGCGAGCGUUAAUCGGAAUUACUGGGCGUAAAGCGUGCGCAGGCGGUUUUGUAAGACAGGCGUGAAAUCCCCGGGCUUAACCUGGGAACUGCGUUUGUGACUGCAAGGCUAGAGUACGGCAGAGGGGGGUGGAAUUCCACGUGUAGCAGUGAAAUGCGUAGAGAUGUGGAGGAACACCAAUGGCGAAGGCAGCCCCCUGGGUCGAUACUGACGCUCAUGCACGAAAGCGUGGGUAGCAAACAGGAUUAGAUACCCUGGUAGUCCACGCCCUAAACUAUGUCAACUAGGUGUUGGGUGGGUAAAACCAUUUAGUACCGUAGCUAACGCGUGAAGUUGACCGCCUGGGGAGUACGGCCGCAAGGUUAAAACUCAAAGGAAUUGACGGGACCCGCACAAGCGGUGGAUGAUGUGGAUUAAUUCGAUGCAACGCGAAAAACCUUACCUACCCUUGACAUGCCAGGAACUUGCCAGAGAUGGCUUGGUGCCCGAAAGGGAGCCUGGACACAGGUGCUGCAUGGCUGUCGUCAGCUCGUGUCGUGAGAUGUUGGGUUAAGUCCCGCAACGAGCGCAACCCUUGUCGUUAAUUGCCAUCAUUUAGUUGGGCACUUUAACGAGACUGCCGGUGACAAACCGGAGGAAGGUGGGGAUGACGUCAAGUCCUCAUGGCCCUUAUGGGUAGGGCUUCACACGUCAUACAAUGGUCGGUACAAAGGGUUGCCAAGCCGCGAGGCGGAGCUAAUCCCAGAAAGCCGAUCGUAGUCCGGAUUGCAGGCUGCAACUCGCCUGCAUGAAGUCGGAAUCGCUAGUAAUCGUGGAUCAGCAUGUCACGGUGAAUACGUUCCCGGGUCUUGUACACACCGCCCGUCACACCAUGGGAGCGGGUUCCGCCAGAAGUAGGUAGCCUAACCGCAAGGGGGGCGCUUACCACGGCGGGGUUCGUGACUGGGGUG